AGGAAAUCAAUUGAUACUCCCCUAGUAGCGGCGAGCGAACGGGGACCAGCCGAGCCAUGAUUGUGGUUAGAAUGCGUUGGAAUGCGCAACCAGAGUGGGUGAUAGUCCCGUAUAAGAAGCAUGAUUGGACGUAUUAAGUAGGGCGGAACACGUGAAAUUCUGUCUGAAGAUCGGAGGACCACCUUCGAAGGCUAAGUACUCCUUACUGACCGAUAGUGAACCAGUACCGUGAGGGAAAGGU
This 241-nucleotide ribosomal RNA is filed under the name Vitrella brassicaformis. RNAcentral's name for it is "partial Bacterial large subunit ribosomal RNA". It matches the Rfam family "Bacterial large subunit ribosomal RNA", at positions 216 to 515 of the family's 2925-position model. The record is from RNAcentral. Lineage: Eukaryota; Vitrellaceae.